UACGUAGGUGGCAAGCGUUGUCCGAAUUUACUGGGCGUAAAGAGCGCGCAGGCGGUCGGAUAAGUCGAAUGUGAAAGCCCCCGGCUCAACUGGGGAGGGUCAUUCGAUACUGUUCGACUCGAAGGCAGGAGAGGGAAGUGGAAUUCCCGGUGUAGUGGUGAAAUGCGUAGAUAUCGGGAGGAACACCAGUGGCGAAGGCGACUUCCUGGCCUGUUCUUGACGCUGAGGCGCGAAAGCUAGGGGAGCAAACGGG
RNAcentral lists this ribosomal RNA (253 nucleotides) under uncultured bacterium. RNAcentral describes it as "partial 16S ribosomal RNA". It matches the Rfam family "Bacterial small subunit ribosomal RNA", at positions 524 to 776 of the family's 1533-position model. The record is from RNAcentral.